This is a non-coding RNA of Hordeum vulgare subsp. vulgare (domesticated barley), 125 nucleotides long. The record is from Rfam. Lineage: Eukaryota; Viridiplantae; Streptophyta; Magnoliopsida; Poales; Poaceae.
UUACUACUCCCUCCGUCCAGAAUUACUUGUCAGUAAAAUGAAUAAAAAAGGAUGUAUCUAGAACUAAAAUACAUCUAGAUACAUCUAUUCUUAUGACAAGUAUUUCCGGAUGGAGGGAGUAUCAA